UACAGAGGGGGCAAGCGUUGUUCGGAAUUACUGGGCGUAAAGGGCGCGUAGGCGGCCUGUUAAGUCGAACGUGAAAUCCCCGGGCUCAACCCGGGAACUGCGUCCGAUACUGGCAGGCUUGAAUCCGGGAGAGGGAUGCGGAAUUCCAGGUGUAGCGGUGAAAUGCGUAGAUAUCAGGAGGAACACCGAUGGCGAAGGCAGGUCACUGGGCCGCAACUGACGCUGAGGAGCGAAAGCAUGGGGAGCGAACAGG
RNAcentral lists this ribosomal RNA (253 nucleotides) under uncultured bacterium. Its description in RNAcentral is "partial 16S ribosomal RNA". It matches the Rfam family "Bacterial small subunit ribosomal RNA", at positions 524 to 776 of the family's 1533-position model. The record is from RNAcentral.